This 73-nucleotide transfer RNA is filed under the name Cordylochernes scorpioides. RNAcentral describes it as "tRNA-Thr". Lineage: Eukaryota; Metazoa; Arthropoda; Arachnida; Pseudoscorpiones; Chernetidae. The record is from RNAcentral.
UUCCAAGAAUGAGAAUCGAACCCACAAUGUUCCGCUUACCGGGCAGAUGCCAUGUCCACUAGGCUAUCCUGGA